This 2293-nucleotide long non-coding RNA is filed under the name Rattus norvegicus (Norway rat). RNAcentral describes it as "long non-coding RNA NONRATT018286". Lineage: Eukaryota; Metazoa; Chordata; Mammalia; Rodentia; Muridae. The record is from RNAcentral.
UGCGUUAACUACAAUCACAUGUUGUGGCAUCCUCCACUUUGAAUCUGUGUGGAGAUUCCGGUUCCCAGACUUGACCAUCCCCAGGCUUGACCAUCCCCAGGCUUGACCAUCCCGUCACUAUGGCGUCUCAGUUAGGCUUCAGAUCCCCCACUGCACCUGAUCCACUCACCUCCGAUGGAGCACUUGCCCGUGUUGCUGCCCCAGCUUCAUCCUUUUUGUUCACACUGUGGUUAUAAAGUUGUAAGGUGGAACCCUGUUGGAAUUUCAUUUACAUGACAUUUAAGCUGUUAAACCUAAAGGACCAAAGGGUGGAGUGUUCUAGCGGAUUCUCUUGAUUAAAAAGUGAUGUGUUCCUUGGGUUUCUACCUAAAUCACUGUAUUUGGGAGGUAUUGUUUUUCCCUAAAAGGCUGUAGGAAGCUCCCUCCCUCCAGCAAGAUUGUCCUGAGAGUGACAGUAAACCUUAGGGUGAUUCCAGACUGGAUUGAUCAAUGGCACAACCCAGCAUUUGCAGAGGCUCACCAAAAAAAAAAAAAAAAAAAGAAAAGAAAGAAAGAAAGAAAGAAAAAGAAAAACCGGUCAUUUUUCUGCUGGAUGCUGUUAACCAAGGUGCAAAUUUACUCUUCAGUGUUGCUGAUAUUUCUUUCUACUUUUAAUUGUCGCCAUUUUUCGUGGGUUAUUUUAAAGUGCUGUCCAUAUUAUCUCCAGGUAGCUGUAAAAUAAAUAAACUCCGUUUAAGAUACCCUUUAGUGGUACAUGUCAGUUGUAUGCGAUUGCAGGGCCAAAUGUCAUUUUUCUGGCUGAGGGAAACCAAGGGAGUUUGGGUACAGAGGAUAUCAACUUGUCAAUUUUCCAAAUAUUUUGUGCUUAAGCUCGAUUCUUCUGGCCUUGUGUUUUUCUGCAUGAGCACAUAUCAGUCAUUGGGUCCUGUCCCCAAGGAGCUUAUAGAGGGAGAGAUGUUCUAGGGAAGAAAACCUGGUUGGCCUGUUUGUUUAAUAGUAGAGAACAUUUUCGUUAUUCUCUCGUGCGUUUACUUCUCCGUCUUUUUCUAAUACUGUUCUCUGUCAUCCUGGAUGAGGAAGCACUUGUGGGAGCAGGGCUCACACAGCAGGGGGUGUAACAGAUGUUUGCACUUGGCUCAGUAUGUUAUGAAUGUGGCACAGUAAAUAACGUUUGUGUACAAAAUAUUAAGUUUAUUUCUAUGAGAGCAAUUAUGUUCAGGAUAUAUAAAAUGUAUCUAAUUAAACCAUUACGAAUCUAUUUUGUGCUCUAGAAAUGUUCUUUUGGGAGGGGGGGAUGUGUCAGUAGUGCUAAAAGUAAAACGCUGAUGUGCGUUCAUGGGUUUAGUUUGCUUUCCCAAAUGCUCCAUGGCUUUUGGGAAAGACUCCAUUUCACACCAGGACUCUAUCUUAAUUGGGUUUAGUUUUUGUAAACAUUUAUACUUUGAAAGUUGUGUGCUGUGUGGCUCUUUCUCUGAAGCAGAAACUGACUUUAUUAACAUCAUCUUUGUAACUCCGCCCAUUAUGGAGAUGUGGAUCCUUUCUGUAUUGGCUCCUUUUAAAGAGAGAGCGGCAAACCGCAUUGGAUGGAUUUGGCUUCAUUCUUCUAACCUGGGAUUUAAAGGAUGAAUGGAUGCUGUGAUGAAGAAACAUGCCCGACAUCCUAAGUAGAUCAGGCCCUUGGGAUAGACAGACAGACAGCUGCCAGACGCCUCGGCUGGAAGAGGUGUCAUACUCUUGAAUUGGCUCUUCAAAAGGACAAACUUGUCUCUCUAGCCUCUGGUCCUUCCACAACGGAAACAUGUUGGAUGCCAUGUCAUUGUGUGUGAAAUGGGCCAUAUUUAUGUGUAAUUUCAGUCAUUCGGGUUAGAAACUAUUCCAUUCACUUUCCUCGUGGACACUAUUAAUUCUUCAUGAGUUAAAAGUUUCCUUAUACACACAUAUAUUGUUGUUAUUUUCCAAACUGAUAGAAAAAAAAGAUAACCAAAAGUUUUGGUUUCCAUAAAUUUUGCUUCUAUCUUUACCUUCCUUCCCAAAAUGAGUUAGUUGUAAAGAAAAGGAUAUUAAAAUUUUUGGUAAAAUAAAGUGGAAUCCUAUAUGGGUCCAUCCGUGUCUUCUCUCAGUGAGAUCAAAUGAGGGACGGAACUGAACGCUUCCAGGCAGAACGAUGCUAAAAUCCUUUAUGUCUGCUCUCCCUUAGUGUUUCAUCUCAGGCCUUCAGGAAUUAAAGUGUUUGCUGUGCUUUUUAAAAAGCCAGAUAUAAAUGUUAUAUAAUAAACAUCACACAUUGAAACUG